CCACCUUAAGGGUAAUUUC
Molecule: small nuclear RNA, 19 nt
Filed under: Arabidopsis thaliana (thale cress)
Lineage: Eukaryota; Viridiplantae; Streptophyta; Magnoliopsida; Brassicales; Brassicaceae
Description: snRNA_18425
Source: RNAcentral